Molecule: non-coding RNA, 109 nt
Organism: Acanthosepion pharaonis
Lineage: Eukaryota; Metazoa; Mollusca; Cephalopoda; Sepiida; Sepiidae
Source: the annotation of a GenBank genome assembly
GACCACAGGCUGUUGAAAUACUAGUUCCUGUAUGAUCACUGUAGUUAAGCAAUGUCAAGCCUGGUCAGUACCUAGAUGGGUAACCUCUUGGGAAUACCAAGUGCUGUAU